AUUGACGGGACCGCACAGCGGUGGAUGAUGUGGUUUAAUUCGAUGCAACGCGAAAAACCUUACCCACCUUUGACAUGGCAGGAACUUACCAGAGAUGGUUUGGUGCUCGAAAGAGAACCUGCACACAGGUGCUGCAUGGCUGUCGUCAGCUCGUGUCGUGAGAUGUUGGGUUAAGUCCCGCAACGAGCGCAACCCUUGCCAUUAGUUGCUACAUUCAGUUGAGCACUCUAAUGGGACUGCCGGUGACAAACCGGAGGAAGGUGGGGAUGACGUCAAGUCCUCAUGGCCCUAUAGGUGGGGCUACACACGUCAUACAAUGGCUGGUACAAAGGGUUGCCAACCCGCGAGGGGGAGCUAAUCCCAUAAAGCCAGUCGUAGUCCGGAUCGCAGUCUGCAACUCGACUGCGUGAAGUCGGAAUCGCUAGUAAUCGUGGAUCAGAAUGUCACGGUGAAUACGUUCCCGGGUCUUGUACACACCGCCCGUCACACCAUGGGAGCGGGUCUCGCCAGAAGUAGGUAGCCUAACCGCAAGGAGGGCGCUUACCACGGCGGGGUUCGUGACUGGGGUGAAGUCGUAACAAGGUAACCUA
RNAcentral lists this ribosomal RNA (590 nucleotides) under uncultured bacterium. Its description in RNAcentral is "bacterial SSU rRNA". It matches the Rfam family "Bacterial small subunit ribosomal RNA", at positions 909 to 1503 of the family's 1533-position model. The record is from RNAcentral.